RNAcentral lists this ribosomal RNA (1479 nucleotides) under Bradyrhizobium sp. Its description in RNAcentral is "Small Subunit Ribosomal RNA ssuRNA SSU rRNA". The stretch from base 647 to 1479 matches the Rfam family "Bacterial small subunit ribosomal RNA". Lineage: Bacteria; Pseudomonadati; Pseudomonadota; Alphaproteobacteria; Hyphomicrobiales; Nitrobacteraceae. The record is from RNAcentral.
UCUCGUGCGUCAGCAGAAAAGCCGACCGCUGGCCGAUGCCUUCGAGGCUUGGCUACGCGCCAAGCUGGCUCUCAUCAGCCAGAAGAUCAAGCUCGCCGCCGCCAUCCGCUACGCUCUCUCGCGCUGGCAGGGGCUGACGCGCUUCAUCGAUGACGGUCGCAUCGAGCUCGACAACAAUACGGUCGAACGAUCGAUCCGCGGCAUCAAGCUCAGUCGCAAGAACGCGCUGUUUGCCGGAUCCGACGGUGGUGCCGAACACUGGGCGGUCGUCGCGUCCCUGGUCGAGACCUGCAAGCUCAACGACGUCGAUCCGCUUGCCUAUCUCACCGACGUCCUGACCAGGAUCGUCAGUGGUCAUCCGAACCGCGACAUCGACCAGCUAUUGCCUUGGGCCUACCGCACUCAGUUCCUCAAAGCCGUGGCCUGAUAACGACGCUUACGAUUUUUCGAGGUUAAGCUUCCACGGCCCUAUUAGAAGAUUGCUCUGCGUGAGCCCGACUUGUGAUGGCGCUGUGGCGAGUGCAGCCGAUAGCAGCCCCAGAACAAGUAUGGUGCGUCGAUUCAUGCUGUCCUCCUUAGGUGAUUAUGGGUUUCCUCUGAUUGCCCUGCACAAUGUGCCGGGGCCCGUACAGCGAAAGUGCCACCGUUAAGGCAAGUCUAAUCUAGACCAGGUUGAGUUAACCUAGAUCAACACGGGAAAAUUGUAGCGCCUUGGCAGCUUGAUAGCGACCGGCUUUCCCGGGGGGAAUUGAUGCGUUGCGGGAUGAGCGAAGGUNGGUUUACUCACUAGUGGCGCAGCUAACGCUUUAAGCAUUCCGCCUGGGGAGUACGGUCGCAAGAUUAAAACUCAAAGGAAUUGACGGGGGCCCGCACAAGCGGUGGAGCAUGUGGUUUAAUUCGACGCAACGCGCAGAACCUUACCAGCCCUUGACAUGUCCAGGACCGGUCGCAGAGAUGUGACCUUCUCUUCGGAGCCUGGAACACAGGUGCUGCAUGGCUGUCGUCAGCUCGUGUCGUGAGAUGUUGGGUUAAGUCCCGCAACGAGCGCAACCCCCCGUCCUUAGUUGCUACCAUUUAGUUGAGCACUCUAAGGAGACUGCCGGUGAUAAGCCGCGAGGAAGGUGGGGAUGACGUCAAGUCUCAUGGCCCUUACGGGCUGGGCUACACACGUGCUACAAUGGCGGUGACAAUGGGACGCUAAGGGGCAACCCUUCGCAAAUCUCAAAAAGCCGUCUCAGUUCGGAUUGGGCUCUGCAACUCGAGCCCAUGAAGUUGGAAUCGCUAGUAAUCGUGGAUCAGCACGCCACGGUGAAUACGUUCCCGGGCCUUGUACACACCGCCCGUCACACCAUGGGAGUUGGUUUUACCUGAAGACGGUGCGCUAACCCGCAAGGGAGGCAGCCGGCCACGGUAGGGUCAGCGACUGGGGUGAAGUCGUAACAAGGUAGCCGUAGGGGAACCUGCGGCUGGAUCACCUCC